This 6504-nucleotide long non-coding RNA is filed under the name Homo sapiens (human). RNAcentral describes it as "non-protein coding lnc-PIWIL4-1:17". The record is from RNAcentral. Lineage: Eukaryota; Metazoa; Chordata; Mammalia; Primates; Hominidae.
AUUCCUCUUCCAAAGACUUGCUGAGCACCUUCUAGGUGCCAGAUGCGGUGCUGGCUCCUGGGGACAUGGGAGUGAACAGGCCAGGCGUGGCCCUGAACCAUCAAAUAGACAACCACAGAAAUAACAACGAAUGAUGCUGGAGGCUGACGAAGAUAAGGGUGGAAAGUGGGCAAUAAAUCAGGAGCUGUUGCAACAUUCCCAGCAAAGGAUAAUGGUGAAUAACAAAGACAAAACCGGGCCCUUCCACACAGUAGCUGGAACACAAAGGAAGAUCAGCCAAGCCUCAACAUAAUCUCAUAAAAAUUCUUCAAAUAUCCCAUUGUUAUGGAUUCAUACAUCAGGAAAGCAGAUGCCAAGAACCUGAACACCUUCUACUGGUAACAUAUAUUUUGGCGAGCCAGCCUGGAGACAAGACCACUAUGGGCAACUUCCUGUCUAUUCUACCUGGUGUCACUGUGGACAACUUCCUAUCUAUUCCACCCGAUUCACCGCUUGGCUACAUCCUCCACCAUUGGGAUGAAUUUGACCCUAACAAUCUAAAGAAAAGGCAUAUGAUUUUUUACUGCAAUAUUGUUUGACACAAUUAUGAGCUGCCCAAUCCGGAACAAUGGGCAGUCAAUGGUAGCCUUAAUUAUGAUACCAUCCUGUAUCUAGACCUAUUUUACAAGAGGCAGGGCAAAUGGUCAGAAGUCCCACAUAUACAGGCCUACAUGACCCUAUACGAAGACCUAAGAAUCUAGGAAACUCCCAGAACCCAUCCCCCGAAGGAAAGUUCUGGGGCAGAACUAGAUAUUAUAGAUGAACCCCCUUUUACAAGGGAUACCUGUCUCUCAGAGUGAGCAGUGACUGUCCCCAUAUAACCCCUCACCAAGUGCUCCUGAGGCUGAAACCCAGGGGCAAACAUGGGGAACCCUACUAAGUCCCCCUCACACUUGGAGGGGAACACUGUAUUCAACUCUCUAUCCAGCCCUGCUACUCUCAGAGAAAUAGCAGGGGCUGAGGGGCCAAUCCUAGUGUGGGUCCCCUUCUCUAUGAUUGAUAUACAACAAUGUAAGGAAAAGCUAGGAAGCUAUUCUGAGGAUUCCGGGAAGUUUGCAGAUGGGUUCCAAACUUUGACCUUAGCCUUUGAUCUCUCAUGGAGAGACGUUCAAUUCACUCUAGCAACCUGUUGCACCUCCUCGGAAAAGGAACGAAUCUUUGAGGCUGCCCUCCGAGAAGUGGACGAAUUAUUCACCCAAAACCGUAAAGGCAGUCACCCAGGCCCAGCCACAGUUCCCACUACGCAUCCUAAUUGAGACCAAGACACCCCCGCAGGAAGGAACAACUGGGCUAAAUUUCUUGAGGCUCUUGGAGGAAUGAGAAAGGGAAUAACUAAGGCAGUAAAUUAUGAUAAAGUAAGGCAGAUUACACAAGGCAGGGAGGAAAACCCAGCUGUGUUUUACGGCAGGCUGCGGGAAGCCUUUAAAAAAUAUAUACUAAUUUGGUCCCUUCCUCUCCUGAAGGCAAGUUAUUAAUGGCACAACGUUUCAUUAGCCAAUCCACACCAGACAUUAGACGUAAGCUCCAAAAGCUACACAUGGGGCCACAAACUAACCAAAAUCAGCUUCUUGGUACUGCCUUCAUGGUGUAUAACAAUCGUGACCUGGAGGAAGGAGAAGGGAAACAGAGUAAAGAAAAACGGCAAGCCAAAAUUAUGUUAGCCAUCACUGGUGAUGCCCUAAAUGCACAAAGAUUGUCCAAGGGAAACUCAAAGGGCCAUAAGGAUAAUGCCAGCAAAGGCUCUUGCUUCAAAUGCAAUAAAAGUGCGAUUGGGCACAGGAAUCCACUAAGCCCCCGCCAGUCCCCUGCCGUCAAUGUAAAAGCACCAGUUGUGGCUCCUGGCCCUGGAGAAUUGACUGUCCCUGCUCCCACCAAGGGGCUCAGUCAGUCAAAACUCUGGCAGUGCACAAGGAGGAAUCAGAUGAAGACUGAAGGGGCCUGGGGCCUUCCUCACUGCCCCGUCUAGGAACAUUGUAAUUACUACUGAGGAACCCUGGGUAACUCUGGACAUCAUGGCCACCCAAAUUCAGUUUUUAUGUGAUACCAAGGUGAAUUAUUCUGUACAACUGCUUAUGCAGGAAAACUUUCCUCCCGGUCCAUGAGUGAUAUUGGAUGGAAGGGAAGCCACAAACAAGAUUCUUACUCCUCCUUUGGUUUGUCAAUUUGAGAAACAAAUCUUCCAACAGGAAUUUUUAGUAGUACCAAGCUGCCCAAUUCCCCUGUGGGAAAGAGAUAUUAUGGUGAAAAUAGUGACACUACUGCAAUUUAAGCAAUAUUAGCAGGUGAAACUGCUAAUAGUAAGAAAUAAGGCAAUGUCCCAGACCAUGUCAAUAAACAGGUUAACCCACUGGCAUGGUAUACUGGAAACCCAGGGAAGGCUAAAACAGCAGUGCCAGUCAAAAUACAGCUUAAAGACCCCAGCCAUUUUCCCAAUGGAAAACAAUACCCAGUUGAACAGGAAGCAAGCAAAGGUCUAGCUCCCAUAGUUGAGAUAUUACUUACCCAUGGACUCUUAAAACCCUGCAAUUCUCCCUGCAAUACCCCCAUCUUACCUGUUCUCAAGCCUGGGGGGAAUACCAGCUAGUACAGAACCUCAGAAUAAUGAAUGAGGCUGUUAUCCCCGUCCACCCAUUGGUGGCAGAUCCAUAUGCCCUCCUGGCUCAGGUGCCAGGGCAUGCAAAAUGGUUCUCAGUCCUAGACCUUUCUUCUCCAUUCCUCUGGCCCCGAGCCCCCCAGUACCUUUUUGCUUUCGAAUGGGAAAAUCCUAAUACCAGAUAAAAACAAUACACUUGGACAGUGCUUCCUCAGGGCUUUCGGGAUAGCCCCCACUUCUUUGCCUGAGCAUUAGAGCGGGAUCUGAGGGAUUUCAAGUUAGAAAAUGGAGGUAUUCUUCAGUAUGGGGAUGACCUUGUGUGUAGCCCAACCUAGGAGGUUUCUGACCAAAAUACUAUAAAAACUUUGAAUUUCCUGGCAGACAGAGGAUACAAAGUGUCCAAAAAGAAGGCUCAGAUUACCCUCCAAUGGGUCCACUAUUUAGGAUAUGUCUUAACACCCGGAACCCGGCAAAUAUCCCCAGAAGGAGUGCAAGCUAUAUGUGGUUUGGCCGCGUGCACCACCCCCAGCCCCCACCCUGACCCACCUCCAAGCAGCAGCUUUGUUCCUUUUUGGGGAUGGCCGGGCUUUGGAGAAUAUGAGUACCAAAUUUUGGGCUCAUAGCAAAGCCCCUAUAUGAAGCAACAAGGGGGCCUGAAAAUGAGCUAAUGGAAUGGACCCCGGAAAUGAGGAAAGCCUUUGCCAAGUUAAAACAGGUUCUCACCCAGGCUCCUGCUCUUGGUAUCCCAGACCUAAUUAAGGCCUUCUCCUUGUAUGUAGCAGAGAAGAGGGGCAUAGCUGUGGGAGUGCUAGCCCAGAAAUUAGGAUCAGAACCCAGACCAACCGCCUACUUCUCAAAAAAGUUGGACGGAGUGGCCUCAGGAUGGCCAAGUUGCCUGCGGGCAAUAGCAGCCACUGCUGUUAGUGGAGGAAGCCACUAAAAUCACCCUAGGGCAACCACUGGAAGUUCUAACGCUCCAUCAGGUAAAGUUAGUCUUAGAAAUAAAGGGACACAUCUGGAUGACAGGGGAAAUGUUAACUAAAUACCAGCCCAUGCUCCUAGACAAUCCAGAUAUAACUCUUAAAACCUGCAACACUUUAAAUCCAGCUUCAUUGCUGCCCACAGGCCCAAUAAUUGAUCAUUCCUGUGAGCAGGUCAUUGCACAUACAUAUGUUAGCCAGCCUGAUUUAAAAGAUGAGGCUCUCCCAGAUUCUGAAGCUGACCGGCUCACAGACGGCAGUAGUUCUUUGUCGAAUGGGGAGCACAGAGCUGGAUAUGCAGCAGUAAAUCAUGACACAAUUAUUGAAGCCCAGCCAGUGCCCCCUGGCACAUCAGCACAAAAGGCUAAAAUCAUUGAUCUUACUCAAGCAUUAAUGUUGGGACAAGGGAAAAAACUUAACAUCUAUACAGAUUCUAAAUAUGCAUUCCUUGUGGUUCAUGCUCAUACCGCCAUCAGGAAAGAAAGGGGAUUACUUACUAGCAAGCACUCCCCUAUAGAGCAUGGACCUGAAAUUCUGCAGCUAUUGAAGGCAAUACACCUGCCAAAGGCCAUAGCUAUCAUUCAUUGUAGGGGGCAUCAAAGGGACUUAACCCCUAUAGCACAAGGGAAUGGAAAGGCUGACGGAAGCCAAAGCAAAAGCCCUCAGCGUGCAAUCCCAACAGAUCCUAGCACUGCUUCCUUUCUACAAUUCCCCAGUAGAACCCAAAUACACACCACAGGAAGAACAGCUAAUAAAAAAAGCAAGGGAGACAAAAACAAGGAUCCUGGUGGCAUAUGGAGCCAAAAAUAUAUCUCCCUCAGGCAGCCCAGUGGAGAGUUAUAAAAGCCCUGCAUGACUCUUUCCAUGUGGGGAGGGAUGCGGCUCUGGCCAUGGUAAACAAGUUCUUUACUGGGUUUAACUCAGCUUCAAUGGCUAAGCAGGUCUGUCAAGCCUGCUCACUGUGUGCAUUUAACAAUCCAGGCAUCAAAAUGCCCCCUCUAAUAAAACCAGUCCAAAGGAGGGGAACUUAUCCAGGGGAAGACUGGCAGUUAGACGUCAUCCAUAUGCCAGCUUGCAGAGGAUACAAGCUUUUGUUAAUACUAAUAGAUACUUUUAGGUUGGGUCAAAGGUUACCCCAGAAAAGGCUAAUGAGGUUCUAAGGUCCUCUUAAAAGAAAUAAUUCCCCAGUUUGGGUUACCUCAGGGUCUCCAAAGUGAUAAUGGCUAAUCCUUUAUCUCCCAAAUAACUCAAGGGGUUGCUAAGGCUCUUGGAAUAAAAUACUAUUUACAUUCAGCCUGGAGGCCCCAAUCCUCUGGAAAAGUGGAAAGGGUUAACCAAACUCUAAAAUAAGCACUAGCUAAACUAUGUCAGGAAACAUCAGAAACUUGGGUUAGCUUAUUGCUCACAGCCCUUUUAAGAAUUUGUAAUACCCCUAGCUCAAAAAUUAACAGAAGCCCAUAUAAAAUGUUAUACAGAAGGCCAUUCUUAACUAAUGAUUUAAUUAUUGACCCAGAAAGAGUUGGUGUAAUUAAAUACCUAGUCAACCCAGAACAAUUCCAGCGGGUUUACAAGAGUUUGGAAUUCAAAGGCUCCUCACACUUGGAACUAACCAGCAACCCAAAAUCAGGCCAGGAGAUAGGGUACUUGUUAAAACAUGGAAUGAGGGAUCACCUGCCCAACAAUUACAACCCCAAUAGAAGGGACUUUUUUCAGUAAUACUGGCCACGUCUUCUGUGGUCAAAGUACUAGUAUUAGAUAGCUGGAUACAUCUUUCAAGGAUCAAACCAUCAAUACCAGAAGCUCCAGACCAGGAACCUGAAGUUCCCAUCAGCCAGUACACCUGUGAACCAGUGGAGGACCUGAAGUACCUGUUUAAAAGAUAGCCAAAAGAUAAGUAAAUGCCUACCAACUUUCUUUGGUGUCUUUGUUGCAUAGUUACUGUGGGCUGGAAAAUAGUAGCCAUUUUUAUCUUUGCAGUUUAAUUGCCUUCUUCCAAAUAGAUAAAAAUCACUUCCUUUGUAAUAAUUAAACAGAAUUUAAAAAAUACAUUUCUAUGACAAAUAUUCCUGAUGGCAUAAGUAUCCACCCCAAGGUUCCCAUUAAAUCUUUUAACCUAAAGUAUUUCCUCUCACCUAGAGAUCAUCGAGCUGUGUGACAAGGGUGCCAGCCACUCCAGGUGAAGACACCACCCCAGGCCAUCAAGGAUCUUCCCUACCUUCACUAAACAGAGCAGGGUGAAAGUUGUGUGAUCCCCAAUAGGUAGGGACUACACCCCAAGUCAGCAGGAAGCAGUUACAGAAGAAAGACCAUUGGUCCCUCUGCUUCCCAUAAAGAUUUAUGGGGAUCACAGCUUUCACGGGGGAGAUGAGGCAAGAGAAUAGGGCAUGCAGGCAGGGUACUUGAGGCCAAUCCACGCUGACUUCCUAGAACUGAAUUAAAUGAAAGCUCCUCAGCAAUGACAGGAAUGUGAAUGGCUUUGUAACUUCUUCCUCUCCAUUAAUGCUAUUUCCACUUUGUAACUUCACUUUCAUCCUCUCCAUUUACAUAGAUCACACACCAAGUAACAUCCUCUCCAUUUACAGUAGGGCGCAUUCCGAGUCAAUGACUCUGACUGCACUUCGUUCUCCUCAUUUACAUAGAACAUUCGCCAAGUAACCAAUGGGAAACCUCUAGAGUAUUGAAACUCCAGAAAAUUCCGUAAGUGGGGCUCUUGAGCGUCUACACUCGGGUCGCUCCCACACUGUGGCGUGUACUUUUAUUCUCAAUAAAUUCCCGCUUUUGCUUUCCUCGUUCUGUUUGAGUGUUUUGUCCAAUUCUUUGUUUGAGGCGCCAAGAACCUGGACACCUUCUACCAGUGACACUACCAAUUUUUGAUUCCAUUAAAGAUCACAG